RNAcentral lists this ribosomal RNA (449 nucleotides) under uncultured bacterium. RNAcentral's name for it is "partial 16S ribosomal RNA". It matches the Rfam family "Bacterial small subunit ribosomal RNA", at positions 29 to 523 of the family's 1533-position model. The record is from RNAcentral.
AACGAACGCUGGCGGCAGGCCUAACACAUGCAAGUCGAACGCUGUAGCAAUACAGUGUGGCAGACGGGUGAGUAACACGUGGGAAUCUUCCUAUCGGUACGGAAUAGCUCAGGGAAACUUGAGGUAAUACCGCAAACGCCCUUCGGGGGAAAGAUUUAUCGCCGAUAGAUGAGCCCGCGUCUGAUCAGCUGGUUGGUGAGGUAAUGGCUCACCAAGGCGACGAUCAGUAGCUGGUCUGAGAGGAUGACCAGCCACACUGGGACUGAGACACGGCCCUGACUCCUACGGGAGGCAGCAGUGCGAAAUAUUGAACAAUGGGCGCAAGCCUGAUCCAGCCAUGCCGCGUGAGUGACGAAGGUCUUCGGAUUGUAAGGCUCUUUUGCCAAGGACGAUAAUGACGGUACCUAGAGAAUAAGCCCCGGCUAACUUCGUGCCAGCCGCCGCCGUAA